RNAcentral lists this ribosomal RNA (585 nucleotides) under uncultured bacterium. RNAcentral's name for it is "bacterial SSU rRNA". It matches the Rfam family "Bacterial small subunit ribosomal RNA", at positions 267 to 849 of the family's 1533-position model. The record is from RNAcentral.
ACCGUGGCGACGAUGCGUAGGGGUUCUGAGAGGAAGGUCCCCCACACUGGUACUGAGACACGGACCAGACUCCUACGGGAGGCAGCAGUGAGGAAUAUUGGUCAAUGGGAGAGAUCCUGAACCAGCCAAGCCGCGUGAGGGAAGACGGCCCUAUGGGUUGUAAACCUCUUUUGUCGGAGAACAAAACCCGGGACGAGUCCCGGACUGCGUGUAUCCGAAGAAAAAGCAUCGGCUAACUCCGUGCCAGCAGCCGCGGUAAUACGGAGGAUGCGAGCGUUAUCCGGAUUUAUUGGGUUUAAAGGGUGCGUAGGCGGUCCGUUAAGUCAGCGGUAAAAUUGCGGGGCUCAACCCCGUCGAGCCGUUGAAACUGGCAGACUUGAGUUGGCGAGAAGUACGCGGAAUGCGCGGUGUAGCGGUGAAAUGCAUAGAUAUCGCGCAGAACUCCGAUUGCGAAGGCAGCGUACCGGCGCCACACUGACGCUGAGGCACGAAAGCGUGGGGAUCGAACAGGAUUAGAUACCCUGGUAGUCCACGCAGUAAACGAUGAAUGCUGGUUGUCCGGGUCGAAUGAGAUCUGGGCGGCGA